Molecule: ribosomal RNA, 2853 nt
Filed under: Sphaerospora sparis
Lineage: Eukaryota; Metazoa; Cnidaria; Myxozoa; Bivalvulida; Sphaerosporidae
Description: partial 18S ribosomal RNA
Rfam family: Eukaryotic small subunit ribosomal RNA
Source: RNAcentral
ACCUGGUUGAUCCUGCCAGUUAUGAUAUGCUUUUCUCAAAGACUAAGCCAUACAUGCCUAAGUUCAUACCUUUACACGGUGAAACUGCGAAUGGCUCAGUAAAUCAGUUAUAAUUUAUUUGAUCGUACCGAAGUGGUAAAACACUUUACACAUUGGAUAACUGUGGGAAACUAGAGCUAAUACAUGUAACCUGCUACCUCGGGGUAGCGUGCAUUUAUUCGCCAAUGAAACCAACACACUGUCUUGCUAGACUGGCGCCAAUARGCAUGAGAGGGUGAGCAAUCGCCCUUUGGUGUUUAUGCCRGUGAACGGUUGCAGUGUUUAUGGUGAUUCUGAAUAACUGAUGCUGAUCGUCUAGAGCCUAUGUGCUCACGAUAUUUCAAUCAAAUUUCUGCCCUAUCAUACCUGUUGGUAGGGUAGCGGCCUACCAAAGUAAUGACGGGUAACGGGGAAUCAGGGUUCGAUUCCGGAGAGGCAGCCUGAGAAACGGCUACCACAUCCAAGGAUGGCAGCAGGCGCGCAAACUAUCCAAUCCAGAUAAUGGGAGAUGGUGACGAGAUAUAUUGGAACUCACCGGCUUUGCCGGUCGAGUUACCAGAUCGGCCUUAAUCUAAACCAAUAACGGAUUAUUCAACGGGAGGGCAAGUCUGGUGCCAGCAGCCGCGGUAAUACCAGCUCCUGUAGCGUAUAUGCUCGUUGUUGCGGUUAAAAAGCCCGUAGUUGAAUUACGGUACGAUCGAAAGGUGGCUCUGCCAUAUGGCCGUCCUCUUAAAAAAAGGCGUUUGUGUUGAGUGAGAAAGAUUGGCGUGUGUCAUGUGCAUGUGUUUUAUUUUUCUCUCCUCCCAGAUGACUGGGAGGUGCGGUUUUGGGUAAUAGGUGAAAGUGACUGUGUGUCAUAAGUGGUCGUAUGGUAGUAAUAUCUGCAACACACUGGCGUUCAGUUUCUAGCUCCGUUCUCAUUACCAGAGUUAAGGUGUGUGUGUAUGGUGGAGAAGAGAGCUUGUCUUUUCUUUUUCGCCUGCGCUCCCCUCUCUGGGUAAAUGGUGAGGACGGUUAGCACACUGGUUGUCGUAUAUGUGGUGGAGACAUCAUUAGGUCGUACUUUCUUGCCCAGCUCACGUGAUUUAUCCUUCAGUGGGUACAUGUGGCGCUAGGUGAAUUGUGCCUUGAGUAAAAUAGAGUGCUCCAAGCAGGCGAUGAUUGUGUAAAAAUUUUCAUAGCCAGAAUACUCCAGCAUGGAACGAAUUUCCAAUUGCUUAAACCACCCCACAUACCUAGUUAGUUGGUUGUGUGCCUCGCACACACAUGCUACGCAUCAUUUAUAUGGUGGUGUGUAGUGUGUCUAGGUUGUGCCCACAGAACAGUGUACUCAGUUUGCAUGUUGAGUGCGGGGAGGGGGUCCACCGUAUUGCGUGUGGAAUAAGUGUCAUUUAAGAUUAAAAUGUCCCCUUACACAUGUGUGCAUGUGUGAUAAAUUUUUUGUCCCACCUGCGCCAUGUAAUCACUCCCUCAUUCCCUGACUGGGACAAAAUGCACUUUCUGUGUAUGGGUAUCGGUUAACAGAGACAUUUGGGGGCAUUAGUAUUUGGCCGCGAGAGGUGAAAUUCUUUGACCGGUCAAAGACUAACAGUUGCGAAAGCAUUUGCCAAAGGUGUUUUCAUUAAUCAAGGACGAUAGUUGGAGGAUCGAAGACGAUUAGAUACCGUCGUAGUUCCAACUGUAAACUAUGCCAACCAGGACUCAGUCCGGAUCAUUUAUAUUUAAAAAAAUAUAUCACGGAUCCAGGUUGGGUCCCCAGGGAAACCUAAAGUUUUUGGGUUCCGGGGAGAGUAUGGUCGCAAGGCUGAAACUUAAAGGAAUUGACGGAAGGGCACCACCAGGAGUGGAGCCUGCGGCCUAACUUGACUCGACACGGGGAAUCUCACCAGGUCCGGACAUCGGAAGGAUUGACAGACUGAUAGAUCUUUCAUGAUUCGGUGGAUGGUGGUGCAUGGCCGCUCUUAGUUGGUGGAGUGAUUUGUCUGGUUUAUUCCGAUUCAACGGACAUGACUGGGUUCUCUAUUUUGGCCGUAUGAAAGUUUACAUCCGUGUUGAUAAUGUGGGUAUUUACAUAAUAUUCAUUUUCUCCCUGCUAGGCACACAAAAAGUUUAGCACUGUCACUGCGCUGGCUUUUUGGUGCCAGUGAAUUUGUGAGGCGAUUGGUGGCGCGCUGGGCUUAAACCACCUUGCACUUUUGUUAUUGGCCUCAUCACGGGGGUGUGUAGUUCUAGCUAGCAUCAAUGGAGAUGGUACCUGUGACGGUGUAUCAAAACUCCUGGUGUACUCCUGUUCCGAUCCGUGGUGAAUUGUCAUUGAUGAAAGGUCAUUAUUUUCCUCAUAAUCGUUCUCUGGUGCCGGCUAGUGUGAUGCAGUGUUGAAUGUGCCUGUGGGCCGGAUUGUGUUCGUGCGCCUUCAUAGAGAGACAACCUGUGGCAAGCAGGGGGAAGUACAGCAAUAGCAGGUCAGUGAUGCCCUUAGAUGUCCUGGGCUGCACGCGCGCUACAAUGGUAACGACAGCGAGUUUCUGUACUGAAAAGUAUGGGUAAUCUUUUUAAUCGUUAUCGUGCUGGGGAUUGAGCCUUGAAAUUAUUGCUCAUGAACCUGGAAUUCCUCGUAAGUACGAGUCACCAACUCGUGCUGAAUACGUCUCUGCCCUUUGUACACACCGCCCGUCGCUACUACCGAUCGAAUGACUUGGUGAGAACAUGGGAUUGGUCGACUCCAUAUGUGUGUUGGCCGAGAGCCUGUUCAAACUGCGUCACUCAGAGGAAGUAAAAGUCGUAACAAGGUUUCCGUAGGUGAACCAGCGGAAG